GCACCGGUAUGAGAUUGGAUAUCUUCAAAGAAUCCUCAAAAUGAAACAUAAGGACGCAAUAAUAAAAAGAAAAUUUCAAUGAAUUAUGAUUCAAUUUCCUUGACUUAAUAUAAAAAAAAAAAUCAAAAGCAAGUUUUUUUUUUUAUUUUAACAUAUAAAAUAAUAUUGGUCUCAUGGUGGACCGAAUCUACUUGUUGAAGGUCUAAGUCUAAUGAUGAUUUACUAAGACUUAUUUAUCAAAAGAUGAGGAUUUAAAACUUCAUCCGAAGAUGACAAAUAAAAAGACUUCAAUAAAAAAUAAUUUCAUAUCGGCAACUCCGAUUGCAAAUAAUCGGGUUCAAUAUUUUUUUUUCUAUAAUAAAUUCAAUGUUAUAUAAAACACUUGUGUCAAACAUCUGUUUUUAAUAAGUAUUCCGAAGUCUCUAAGGAUAGAUUAUCGUAACGAUCUUAGUUGUUGAUAGAAAAGUCUCAUAAUUUAACCUCUAUCUUUAUCACUUACUUUGCAUAAAAAUAAAAUUUAUAAUCUACAUUAUAAAAUCGAAAACCAAAUUAAAGGAUUCGAGGAGAGCUAAUUUUAAUUACAUAUACAACCCAAGGUUCUCAUGGCAUAUGAACAACUCCCCAUAGGAGCACAAGACACCAUCGUGAUGAAUUAGAAAAGCGAGCUCCAAUAGUACUUACAAGAAACCAAAUAUCAUGUAUCAUCAAUUAAAGGUGUAUGGAUCGGGCUAUGUCAAGACCCUCUUGGGCCACACCAUGCUUGGCACAAGGCCCAGAGAUGUAAUUAGUUGUUUCUAAAUAGAAGAUCUUGAUAGAUUAGCAUUCCACGAUAUACAAAUCGGUUUCAACUAAUUAUCUUCAAAUUAAAUUUAAUGUGACCUCUUUCUCUCCUCGUACCCCUCAUGCAAAGAAUAUUUAAAAUUGAUUCAAUGAUUUCAAGAAUCAUACCUUUCUUAGAGAAUAAAAUCGGACAAUUAUUGAGAGUUUGAAGUCUCAUUCACGAAAGACAAAAAAAGAAGAAGUAAAAUUAGGGUAUAUGAUUGUCAUUAUUAUUAUUGUUCUUAAUUGGAAAGACAUGUCUAUUUGCCAUACAUCUAAAAGAAACGCAAGAUAGAGCUGACGUGACUUGCAUUAUAUGAUUGCACAUGCCUACAUAAAUAAACACUAAUUUAAAAUUAAAUAUAAUAACAUGCAAGUCGAUCACAUGUAUACACCAUCAAAUAAAGCCAUAUGAUAGUGCCAUGAUGUUUCAUUGCAUAUGCUUCCGCAUAAGGUUUAAUUCUUUUUUCUCUAAAUCUCUUAGUAAAGUAUCAAAAUGACUUUUUGUGUAGUAUAUGGGAACAUAUAACUUUUGGUUAAAUACCAAAUACUAGUCAUGGAAGAAAUUGGCAAAUAAUUAGAACAUUGUUGUAAGUAUUUUCAUGAAUAAAUCUUUCAUUAAAUCACCACACACACAUUUGAUCAGAAAUCCCAAACCAUUGACUUCUCAUAUAUCUUUAACCACAUUUAUUGAGAAACCAUUAAUUACAGCUUCGAGUUUGGACUCCCAACAUAAUAAGAUCGCACUGUGGCAUCAUCAGUUGGCCCUCCGGCAGUUCAACCUUACCUCCCCGGCCGACCCUAUCAAUGGGCUGAUGCUGCCCAUCUUCACCAUGGCCGCCGCGAAGUCCCUGUUGAAGGCCUCGCCAUUCUUGCUGUACAACCUCACCAGCCCAUCCGCCGGGCCGCCGUUGAAGAGCUCCUGGUCGGAGUGAAGCAGCCCCCGCCGCGCCAUCAAGUCCCGGUAGUAGCUCACGUCGAACCGGGUGGGACUCGUGGCGUCCAGCCCAACCAGAGUGUCGUCGCCGCCCGCGGCCGGGCAUGUCCUCUUCCUGAGCGUGGCGAAGCCCGGGUCGACGUUGGAGUCGUUGUACACGUGGGGGCGGAAGUUGGCGCACCGGGCUGCGCCUACGGUGUGCGCGCCGCAGAGCGCGGUGAGGUCGCGUAGGCUGAGACCCUUGGCGGCGAACCUGGCGACGAGGUUGCUGAGGCCAUCAGAGACCGGGGGGAGGCUGGCGUUGGCGGCAGCGAUGCUGGCGGUCCUCGCGUCCCGGCGGCCCAGCUGCACCGUCCAUGACGGCCCUCCAAGCUGCACGCGUAGCAAGUGAGUUCUACGUAGGAGAUGGCGGUGGUGCGGAGGUGCAGGGUGAUUACCAGGGUGACGGCGUCGCGGGAGGCGAGGGCGAGGAUGUCGGCGCAGGAGACGGUGGAGCGGCAGGCGGCCUCCACGCGGGACUUGAUGUCGUCGAUGACUUCGUACCCGCGGAGGGAGUUGGCGUUGGUCACCGCGUUCUUCUCGCCGAUCAUGGUCGGUGUGUCGUCGAGGAGGACGGACGCAUCACAGCCCUGAGGAAGAAGGAAGUCUGGUCAAAUUUAUCUUUGGUUAUAAAUUAAUAUAUACGACAUUAUUAAUUUGAUGAUAGAGUGUAUAAGAUUCACUUAUAAAAUAGUCUAAUAAGUAAGUACAUAUGUGAUCUGUCAUAUAUAUAUGCUUUUAAUGAAAUUUUCUUUUAAUUUUUUUAAAAAUAUUAAUCCGAUGAUAAUAUAUCUAAUCUUAAAAUUUUAUUUUAUAUUUAUUUUUUACAUCUAAAAGAUAUUAGCUUUGUAACCAUCUAAAUCUCAGCUUAUAAAUUUUUUUAAUAUUAUAAUAUUAAUAUAAUGGUAAUAUACCCGAUUUUUCUUUGGGUUGAGGGUUUAAAAUUUAUACCUAUAAAUUUUUUGUACCUAAAAUAUUAGUCCGAGACGACGAUAUCUUGAUUUAUUUUAGGUUGAGAAUUCUGAAUCUUAUCACAUCUUUUGCAUCUAAAACCAAAGUUGAUAAUUCAUACUGAAAUGCAUUUAUAAUUUAAGGUAGAUAAAUUGGUCAUGUUUCCAAAAAUAUACUUCAAAAAUUCAAAUAUCAUCUUCACCAUUUACCAUCUAUAACAAAUAAAUAAAUAAAUAAACAUUUCGAAAAAUAAAAGGCACUUAGAAAGCUUUAUUGGGGGGUAAAUUACAACAACUCGUAUAGCUAGCUAUACAAGAUACAAAAUUAAUGGAACCGUAUAAAUUGACGUUGAUGAUUAGAUAGCUGCAUCAGUUAAAUUUCAUAUAAUUGAGAAAUACAGUUGAGACAUACUAAUCAAAAUUUCAUAUAAUUGAGAAAUACAUUUGAGACAUACUAAUCAAUGAUCCAAUAAAAUCUCCAUCGUGACAUGACAUGAUAUGUGAAUCGUAUCUACCCAUAAACUUUUGUCUUCGUCGAUCCUUGAAUCUUACGUACUAUAAACAUGACUCGAGGUCGAGAUUCACUGUCGCCAAAUUUUUUUGUUUUUGAUGUUUUUUCUCUGUAUAUAUGACAUGAUGAUAUGUGAAUCGUAUCCAUCAAUAAACUUUUGUCUUCGUCGAUCCUUGAACCUUACAUACUAUAAACAUGACUCGAGGUCGAGAUUCACUGUCUCCAAAUUUUUUUAUUUUUGAUGUUUUUCCUCUAUAUAUACUUUUUAUCUACUAAUUUUUCCUUUGUGUCAAUCGUUUAACUUUGUUAAUCAAUAACCUAAUCCAAAAUUAUGUGUUUUAGAAAAUAUGAAACUCUACUGGAAGAAUAAAUUCAUAAUAUCAUAGAAUUUUGAAGCCGCAAGUAUGCAUAUAUGAUAUGUAAACAUGAAACACCUAAUAGCAAAUUUCAUGUACCUUCUAAAGUAUUGAUUCAUAUCGAUAUACCAAAUAUUCUAUGCUACAUGUCUUGUGUAUCAAAUGGUACAAGUUUUAUAUUAGAUAUAUCAUUCAAUUUACUGUCAAACUAGUAAGAUACUAAUGGGUAUCGUACCAAACAGUAUUGUAAACUUUGCACCUAAUUAAUUACAAUUUGAGUAAAAGGAAGUAUUAGUUUCACUAGUAUAUCGGAAAUGUAAUUAAUUAAGUACAAGUUUGAGAGAGAGAGAGAGAGAGAGAGAGAGAUAACAAGUACAAGAUAUCAGAAAAUAUUACAAUUUGAGAGAGAGAGAGAGAUAACUAGCACAAUAUAUCAAAAAAUGUUACAUACUUUAAAAGGACGAGUAAUCAAUAACCUAAUUAAUGCUAUGUGUUAGCUUCGAUUAAACAAUUUUUUUUUACCGACAUUGUUUUCGUAUUACAAAGGAUUUAUGUUUUUUUUUAACUUUUAUAGUUAAAAAAACUUACAAAUGCUUAUGAAACAUAUAAUGUUCAUAUUUGUACCUCUCGGUUCUAAUUCAAAAAGACAAGAUGGAAAGAAAAUAUAAUAUUAUUAUUCGACAAUGUGGACUUAGAUACAAAUUUUACUCUAUGAUACAAAAAUAUCUACAAAACUCUUAGCUUUUGUUAAGUAACACUGAUAAAUUUAUCGAAUAAGAUUUUAAAUAUUCUAUUUUUUUAUCAUUGUAUAUAGUUCUACUUCAUGGAUUAUGAGAUAGUUAGAAAGAGAAAGAAAAAGAAAAGAUAACAUACGUUCACGAAGCAAUCAUGAAAGAAGAGACGAACAAGAGAGGCACCCAUUCGAGGCUCCUGCCUCACGACUUGAGUCAUGACUGAUGCCACGAUUGCUUGUAAAUUCGGGCACGUCGUCACGUAGAACGUAGGCGAUAACUGUGCUUGUGCUAUGCACACCAUUAGAGAAAGCAUGACGAUAGUACCAAGGAGGCCAUUAGAGAAGGAAGCCAUAACACAAUGAGAUGAAUGAUAACACUGCCUCCUUGUGUACACCAUAACACACAUAUAUAUAGAUAGAAGAUUGAUACACAAUGCGCAUCUUACAGGUGGCUAAUGGGGACGUGACAAUGAUGUCUCCAUCGAUCUUAUGUGUUUUUUGUUGGAUCCAAGUAUAGGAUUAGUAGAGAGUAACAAUUUGACUCAACCAAAUCAAAUGAUCUGUCCUAUUAUAAUUGCUAAUAUGAUUUGGCUCAACCAAAUCAAAUGAUCUGACUAUUAUAAUUGCUGAUAUCAUAUGGCUAAUUUGGAGAGAUCGGAAUGAUGUGAUGGCUCACGCAAUGAAGUUCUAUCCGGUAGAUUGAUUUAUUCAUCGAGAAAGGAGGGGCAAACAUACCACAGAAAAAAUCCGAUCUAUAUAGUAAAACACGAGGAGGGAUUCGGCGUUUACUUACAAAGAUCGAUAUUGAGAUUCGGAUAAUGACUUUGGUUCCUCCAUAGGGGAUAUAUAACUUUUGGGAGUGUUUUCCCGAGAGUGGAAUUACUCACAUUUAAGGACUUUCACAUUGGUCAGCGAAUUUUACGUUGCCUUUAAGCUGUCUCAGUGCUGAGGAAGAAGCGAUGGGAGAAAGAUGAGUGAAGUUUUAGCUUGGAAGAGGAAUUGGGCCAGUGAAGAUAACGCUGUCACUUUCAAGGUCAGUAGGUGUGAGGAAGCUGCCGACACAGCUUGCUGCUUCUGAUAACUUGAUUCCAACCACACCAAAAAUGAUUUCCAUCAGGAAAGGAAUCAACUGCAUGUGUGACAAAGAUCCACUUGUAUUUUUCUUGAUUUUUCCGCAUAGCAACUCUUAUUGUUAUUAUUAUUAUUAUUUAUUGUUUCAAGAGAUUUCAAUCAUUCCAAAAUGAUGAAAUUGUCAAAAUUCAGCUCAGUUGGACUGAGCACAAGUGAUACAUCCUUAUCAUUAAGCUCCUCUCUCUCUCUCUCUCUCUCUCUCUCUAACAAAGAAGGUUCAUUGAUCUCUCGAUUCGCUAUCUUUCACUCAGCUUUAUAGUACUGUUAUUUGUCAUCUCUGUAUAUAACCAAAAAUAUGGGUCAUGCAUGGAAAAUUGUUGUCAAGUCUUCAUCCAUCAAUUAUGGCCCAUCAUGUUUCAUUGAAAUAUACUUUAUGAUUCAUACUUAAAACAUUGGCAUGAUAGUGACUUACCAACACAAAACAUCAUCAUAUAAAUUUUGAAGAAUCUUAAUGUUGAUUAGGGUUUAACAUCGAUGGAUAAGACUCCUAAUUAGAGGAAGAAUUAAAAGUAAUAUAAUCCUUUAUUACCUUAUCAACUUAAAUGGAACUAAUUUGGUCUAUCUUUUAUUUAAAUGAAUUUAAUUAGUUUAAAGAUAUUUUGUAAAUGUUUGUUUGAGAAAAACAAAGCAAACGUAGAAAAGAAAUAAGAAAUUAUUUUUUUAAUCAAAUCUUAACUAAAGAUGUGGAAGUUUAUCGAUCAAGAAUAUUUUCAAAAGUGAAAAAUGAUUUUUCAAAUCAAAAUAAAAAUAUUAUCUUUCUCAAAGAAAAGAAGAUAUCAUAUAUUAACACGAUUCUUUUUUUAUUUAUAUAUAUAUUUAUUCUUAUACUUAAGCAUAUCAAUGAAUUGAGCUCUUUCCCACUUUGUGUGUGAGUGGCGCUAGGCCUACAAAGGUAAGAGGUAUUCUUGGGAGUUCUCUCGCGACAAAGCUUAAUAGUUAUCUUUUUAUAUUUUUUAAUUACUUUUAAUUUUUAUCUCUUUAUUUUCUUUUUUUAUUUUUCUACCAUCAAAAAGAAAUUUAUUGCUAUUUGUCUUACAUCAAAUUCAUUACUAUUUGUCUUAUAUCAAGUAAGAAAUAUUAUCUUCUCCAAAGAAAAGAAGAUAUCAUAUAUUUGAUUUGAUAUGAUUAUAACUUUCUUAUUUCUAUUUUUUUUUAUUCUUACGCUUUAGCCUAAGAUUAUAAUAAGGGAAAAGUACCAUAUUAUUUCUACAUUAACCUUAUGAACUUAGAUUAUGAUUGGAAAAAGAGAGAUAUAGUGUAUAAAACUAAUUAAUGUAUAAAGAGAAUAAAUAUACAAGCAACAUUAAUUUACAUUUGGUAAUUGUUUGCAGAGGUAAUUGGAAGACCCUUAGUAUCAAAUUUAGGGACUAAUUAGUAUUCAACAAAAGGUUUAUAGGUUCUAUAGUUUGUUAUGGAUAAACUUCUGUUAGAGACAAGUUUAAGGUUUUCCACAAUUCAUAAAGUUAAUCCUUUACUACAUAACUUGAUAUUAUAUUAACCUAAUAAUCUCUCUCUUCUUCCUACUCUCAAUGCAAUCUUCAUUCAAUAAUAUACUCCUAAUUUGAUGAUGGUGGUGGUAAUAUUAUCAUCAAUCUGCUCCAUCUCCGAUAGAGUUGUCUGGAAUUGAAGCUAUUUGACCAUCAUUCAAUUAUUUAUUCUACUCGAACAAGAAUUUAGGGAUGAAUUAACUUUGAUCAUCCAUUGUACGUCCUUGCUUUCAUCUUCAUUGAUGACAAAUGCACAACAUCAUUAACCAUAUUAUACUUUUGAAAGCUUUGAUCAUGUUCUUCAAGUUCUAACUAUGUCGAAGGCACUGGUAGGACGUCCCUUGUUAGAAUGAAAGCUUCACUUCACUAGUCGAAGAACCAAUCAUUGGGAUCCUCCAAUUAAAUGUGAUAGAGAUGGCCUUACUCUCAGGUGUCAUAAUAAUCCUUGGAAUUUACUGCAUCCAACUAAACAAUUCUUCGUAGGCAUACACACAAGAUUUACCGACUCGUCAAUCUUUAUAAUUUAUGGAUAUUUUUAUCUAAGUUUUCAAUAAUCAUUAGUCUGUUUGUGAUUGCAAACUCAUUUAGUAAGGGCUUCCAACGAAAGAAAUUCUUCCAAUUUGUCUUCCCUCAAGAAAUAUCUUUUCAAACUUCUUCUUCUUUCGUAUAUUCUAAAUCACUUUAUCUUCCUUUUGCUUGUCUUUUAAAAGAAAUCCAUGAAACAAUUAUGAUCCACUAAUUAUUUCUCAUUAUCAUCCUCAUUGUUUCGAUGUUGUCGUCGGUUGUCUUCUUAAUCAUAGUUCUUCUCUCUUCUUCUUAAACUUAUAUAUAUAUAUAUAUAUAUAUAUAUAUAUAUAUAUAUAUAUAUAUAUAUAUAUAUAUAUAUAUAAAAUUUUAGUUAUGACAUGAUUGGGUAACCACAAGUCCCAAAAUAUUAAAGAGUUAGGAAAGUAGACAAUAUAUGCUAGCUUAGGAAAGGACCUAAUAUAUAUCUAACAUCCCGUCUGACAUGUAAACGAAACCCAAAUAUAUGAUGUAGGAUAUUCAAAUAAUGUACUUGCAUAAAUAUAUUUAGAUAAAAAAAUAGAGGCAUAUAUAGAAUUCAAACUUGUGAUUUGCUUUGAUACCAUUGGAUAAUAACAAAUCCAAAAACUCAUUAUUAGAAAAAAAAAUACUUCGACAGGCUUAAUCGAGGGUGAUUUCUUAAAAAGCUUCAUUUUUUUAAUUUUUUAAAAAGUAUCCCUAUAUUUUUUUAAUAAUAUUUAUAUUUUUCUAUGAUUCCAAAAAUGCUCCUCGUCCACCAUCUUCAUCCAUUAUCAAGGAGUUGAUCGACCUAGGUGAGUCGAUGACGAAGAGGGUUUUAGGCCUAGGGGAGGUAUAGGAGAUCGUCUAGAGUGAUAAGAAGGUAAAGGAUGACAUCACGAGUAGAGGUAAAGGCCAUCUUAGGAGCGAAUGAGGAAGGACAAAUAACAAGGUCAUACGUGGGACCUCGUAGUGUACGAACAAGAAAUGAUGAGAGAUAUUUAUAAAAUUAAAAAAAUAGAGAUAUUAUUUAAAAAAUAAAAAAGGGCACCUUAGGGGAAAAAAAUCAAAAAGAUAGUUUUUUUUGGAGUUAAUCACCCUUUAUUUAACUCAACUAAUAAUUAUAAAAUUUAACUUAAAUUAUCCUCUAUAAAUAUUUUCCACAGAGAGAAAUUAUUUCUUUUUAUUUCACGUAAAUUAACAACGGAUACAAUCAUUGGGGGUAACAAUUCGAAUCAUGUCAACACAAUAAUAAAAGAUUAUUACACUUCACACAGUCAUACAUAUAAUUUAUUUUUUGGAAUCGAGACGUGGCAAUCAAUCAUCUACCCUUAGUUCACCUUCCUACAGUUCAAUCUUAUCUCCCCUGGCCACCCUGUGAGAGGGCUUAUGUUCCCCAUCUUCACCAUGGCCACCACGAAGUCGUUGAAGAAAGCUGACGUGCUCGAGCUGUACAACCUCACCAACGAGUCCUGCGAGCCGCCGUUGAAGAGCUCCUGGUCGGAGUGCAGCAGUCCCCGGCGAGCCACCAGGUUCUGGUAGUACCUAUUGUCGAACCAAACUGGGGUCUGCAGGUCCAGCGGCGCCAAGUUGCCGUCGCCGCCGAAGGCCGGGCAGGUCUGCCUGCGGAGAGCCGCGAAGCCGGGGUCGAUGUUCCGGUCACCGUAGAUGCGCGGGCGGAAGUUGACGCACCGGGCUUGGCCGACGGUGUGCGCGCCGGAGAGAGCGGUCAGGUCGCGGGCGUCGAGGCCUUUCCUGGCGAAGAGAGAGAUGAGGUCGGAGAGGCUCGACGAGGCCAACGGAAGGUUGGCGUUUGCGGCGAAUAUGCUCGCCGUCCUCGCGUCCCUGCGGCCCAGCGGCACCAACCAUGUUGGUCCUCCAAGCUGCGAGCAAGACGAUCACAUGCAUGCAUAAGUGCAAGCCGAGAGCGAAGGCUGUAAUGAUAUGUACUGACCAAAACCACUCCAUCACGAGCUGCGAGGGCUAAGAUGUCGGCGCACGACACAGUCGCGUUGCAGGCAGCUUCCACGCGUGCCUUGAUGGCAUCAAUGACCUCGAAACCUCUCAGGGAGUUCUGGUUGCCGUUGGAGUUCUUCUCGCCGGUGAAGGUCCGCGUGUCGUCGAGAAGGACGGACGCAUCGCAACCCUGAAGGAAAGAUUGGUGAGAGAAGGAGGAGUAAGAUUACAGGAGGAGAAAGGGUAUCGUACGUUGACGAAGCAGUCGUGGAAGAAGAGUCGAAGGAUGGAGGCGCCCAUCCGCCUGUCCCGGAACACGGCCUGCGCCAUGACACUGCGCACGAUUCCUCGUAGCUUCGGGCAGGUGCGGUCGUAGAACCUCGUCGACAGCUGGCCGUGCGCAGCGGAAGCCAGCAGAGAGAGGAGGAGGAGAGUGAGGAAGGUCUUGCAGGAGACCGCCAUGGCUGACGAGGAGAUUGAGUUGGGAUGAGGAGGAGAGGUAUGCAAAGGUACUAUAUAUAUAUAUGUAGAGAGAGAGAGAGAGAGAGAGAGAGAGAGAGCAGCAAGAACAUUACAAGUAGAUAGAGUAGACUUUGAACUAUGAUUUGGACUUGGCAUUAUAAGUGUUUUUGUUAUUGAAGAGAAGACUUCCUUCUUUGGAGUACAGCUUUGAACUCUUACAAGGACAUAAAAGUACUUAAAACAAGUGGUGGUAGCUUGGAAAUCAAGAAUAUGACAUCAUGUGUUUUUGGUUGAUUGGUUACUUGUUUUAGUGGUCAUAAGAAGAACUUGAUAUUGAAAAAGAAAAAUAAUUUAAAAUUUUAUUGAAAAUAACUAAUAUACAAAAAAAAAUUAAUUUUUUUUUAUCAUAUGAGAACAAUAAAAAAAACAGAGAAAUGGAUGAUCCAAAAUCAAAUCCAAAGUUCCUUAUAUAACAAAAAAAAAAAGAAGCUUUUCUUAUCAUUUAUCCGAGAAAAAGAUAUUGGAAGAACUAAUCCAAUUCUAAACACUAAAACCUUUUUUUACAAAUGAGGUGUUCGUAAUGACUCAUGCGGUCGAUCGAGACGUGAGUUAAUUUAUAUUAAGCAUGCGUAUUAUGUUUAUUUCUAAUCUUCAGGUCAUCGUAGAAAGGCUGAAAACUUUGACGUUCUUCUCUAUAACUUCCGUCAGAGAACAACUAAAUAUGUUUUCUUCCAUUCUUGAAUUCCUUAUCCUCCAAAUAACCUCAUUUACUAAGUAAUUUAAUCUGUAUUAAUAAUUUAAAAAUACUUAUUAGCUCUAACACUCUAUAUCUUUGUUACUGUACUAAUUAAAUAAUUAUUUUUUUGUAAUAUAUAUAUAUAUGUCACAUCAAGAGAAAUUUAUUUGAUCUGGUCAGCUGCAAAAUGUUUCUAUCUGAAUAUUUUAUUUCUUCAAUUUCGUGUUGACUUAUGCAAAGUGUAUUGCUCACAUUAACUUAAUGUUUUGAGUGCCUCCGGGAUGACAUGAAAGCCAAAAUGGCAUUUCAUCAUUCUCCAAUUUUCUAUGAUAUAUAAUUUUUUUUGGUGGAUACGUCAUUUGGAUUGGACACAGAAUAAAUUUCUCGGGAAAACGAGUGGGAAUUGGUCUUCUCAUAUGAUAUGAUACAUCUUAUCAAGUAAAUUUAUCAUGUCUCUUAACUGUGUUCCUAUCAGAGUUAAUAAUAUCUGUUUUCGUUUUCUUACCUUUGUAAAGUGUUUUUUUACUAAUCAACCAAUACGAGUUUAAUUAACCCUAUAGAUCCCACUAACUCAUGAUGAGACCGCUCAAUAAUAACUUGAGUAUAAUUCCAGUUAAUUUUCAUUAAAUUAUUCUAAAAUUUUCCAAAGCUACUAUCAAACUAACUAAACUAAUGACACAUUCUUAGUAAAAAAUGCUGACUCUAAUAAAUUCUCAAACUAUGAUGAUCAAUUACUAAUUUAAAUAUUGAAGGGGUUUUAGUCGAGCACACUCCUAUGUAAUUUUGUAGGAUGAUUUGUCGAAUUUAUUAUCUUUCUAACACCUCUGCAUGAAAGUGAACAUAAGUUGGAUUCCAAUUUGCUCUAUGUGUAACCAAAAUCUAACUUAUCAAAAAUUUUAAAUUCAUACAAGAUCCACUUAUCAAAUAUUAAAUGUUUAAAAGUUCUUCUCACACCUUAAAUAGUGGUGCAGUAGCGAUUGUUGAAUCUCUUUUGAUAAUUGUGUUUAUGUUUUAAUUUGUAUUUUGAGCGACGCAGGAUGCUUCGAUCAUAAUGAGACAAUUAAAAUAGGAAAAAUCAUAUUAGGCCGGAGGAACAUGUCAGAAGAUUGAACGUCGGGCCGAUGGAUUGGUCGAUGUAUCGACAGAAGGCUUCGGGUCAUGGAUUCGGGCAUCGGGCCAAGAAGAGUGGGUAUUGCGUCGAGGAUAUCGAAGUUGCGGAGUCAACUGGCCGAUUGGGCAAUAGGCCAUAGGAGAGGACGAUGCGCCGAAGAAUCGGAGGAAGCGUCGAAGGACCAAUGACAUGUCGGACAACUUGAUUAAUGCUUAGUAUUAAUUGUCUAGAUCGAAGUUUGUUUUACAUGUGCAAGAUUAACUACGAUGGAAGUAAGACAUGUAGUAAGAGUUGCGCCGGAGUCAAGGCCAUGAUCACGUUGGGGGUUCGAGAGUUCGACGAAAGUCCGGACGGACGUCGGAGGUUCUGCGGGAACAAAUCCGAGAAGUCCAGGAGCUUGCCAAAAAAGCUCGUCGGAACUCGCCAAAUGGAUUGUCGCAAGUCCAAGAGUUUACCGGAAGUUCGCCGGAGCAUCGCCAAGGGUUCGUCGGAUGUUCGCCGGAAGUUCGCCGGAAGAAGCGAUUGACGCACCGGAGCAAGUUGCAGUAAAUGUCUUAAGAAAUAUCAUAGUUAGCAUGAAGAUUAAGCUAGGAAUGGGAGGUGAUCCUAUUAACUUAAUCUGGGGGCAAUUGGGCUCUUGACAGACCUAAAUUGGGCCGAAUGGAUCAGCCCAUUCAGACCCAGAUUUCCUGGCCGACGGUGUAACCGCCCAAGUCAGGCGGUGGUACCGCCUGGGCUCAGUCUCCGAGUGAGACUGGGUGGUGGUACCGCCCCUGUCAGGCAGUGGUACCGCCUAGGCUCAGUCUCCGAGCGAGAUUGGGCGGUGGUACCACUUGAGCUCGGUCUCCGAGAGGUAGUACCACCCAGUUAUGGCGGUAGUACCAUCAGUAUCCCGAAAAUCCGAGAGAUGACACAUUUGAGCUCUAAAUUCAAACCAAUUGGGGCCUAUAUAAAUCCCACCCUUUCCUGCAUGAAAGAACAACCGAAAGCUUGAUCAUACUCUGUGAUUUUAGAGUUCAAAAAUAUUAUAAAGGCCAAAAGUUCUCCUCCCUCUUUUCUUCCAAGUUUUGAUCAUUCAAGAGAGGAGUGAAAAUUCUGUAAGGGUCGUCUCCUAAGCCCAUCAAAAGGAGUGAAACUGUAAAAAGGUGGUUGGCCUUCGCAUAUUGAAGAAAGGCCUCUAGUAGACAUCGGUGACCUCGUUGGAGGAGGAAGCCGAAAGUGGAUGUAGGUCACGUUUGACCGAACCACUCUAAAAUCUGGUUUGCAUUUCCUUUGUACUAUUUAUCUUAACUAUAAACUGUCUUCCUUACUUUACUUCAAAUACGUUUCCGUAAGCUUUCAAAGUUAUUAUCUGCACGAAAUGAUUUUUACGUCGGAAUCGGAUUUUAAUGUACGAAUACAGUUUUAAUCGUCGGAAGUUUUCGACUGCACUAAUUCACCCCCCCCCCCCCUCCAUAGUGCUCUUGAUCCUAACAAUGAUAUACUGUUUACUUAUGAAACAUUGAAGGUGUGAAAUCUUAUUUGAUAUAUUUUUGAAGAUAUUGAUUAACUCAGUUAGUAAAGACUUUGAUUAAUUAUCAUAAGAUUUUGAACUCGAAUCUCAUUUUUAUCGUUUAUUCUUUAAAAAGAAAUUUUUUUUUAAUAGACAAUGAACUAAGCAAUUGAAUGAAUCAACUAUUAGACAGACUGUUAAAACAAGUGGGCAAUUGGAUAAGAUAACAGUCACAUCUCGUUAACCUACCUCUCAAUCUGUGACUACGACGGAAACACAGUACUGGAGAGAGAGAGAGAGAGAGAGAGAGAGAGAGAGAGAUCGUACCUUCUUCGUUGACUCCAAGAAGCCAUUCGAAUGUUUCCGGUGAUUUAAUGAGCUAAUACUUCAUCAGCUGGCCGACUAAUUAGCUUCAUGACAUCAAUGGCUCCAAGUGUUAGUAGACGACCAUGUAAAUGGUCAGACGAACUAAGAAAAUUAAUGGUUAUGUAUGGGUUGACUUUUAUUUUCCCCCCCGUAAUGCAUGGGUUUCACUUUAUUAUGUGUUAGAAAUUUAAUUAAACUUAUAUUUUGUUAAAAUGUAAUUUAAAUUUUAUGAAACGUGAAGUUGGAUGUUAGUGUUCGGAUAGAUUUUGCUUUGGUAAAUUGCAACAACAAAUGUUGAAAACUGUAGCAGCAGCAGCAAAUGUUGAAGUCGACCGCAGCAAAUCGGAGGGUGGCAGCAGCAAAUGUUAGAAGACGGUAAUGGCAAAUGUAGUUGGUUUUAGAUUUCGAUAAGGUUAACGCUUUCAAAUGUCCGUUGAUCUCCAAGAAAUAUGGGAUGUGUUUGUGAUCAAGGCAAGUCAAUGUAAGAAGAGACCAAGGGAAAAUAUAUGUCAGUGCAAUAUUUAGCCCUAUAAUUGACUAUAUUUAACAUUUCGAUUCUUAUAUGGAUAUCUCAAUAAUUACAAAAGUAAAAUAUUUAGAUUUAUUUAUCAUAACGACGUUAAUUUUAUUGAUGGAAACACGAAAAUAAAAAUAAAAAAUAAUUUUAAUAUUAUAGUUGGUAGUUGCAAAUGACGUUGAUGGUGGCAGAUGGUGAUGACAUUAGUGCCACGUCGACGCAGUUGCCAAGCGACCUUUUUGUCGCAUUGCAUUUAUGUCGGCACUCCAUCAUCGUGGAAUCGAAAUUCGUUGUCGAAGCUAUCGCGGAGAUCCACGACAUUUCGAAGCUGGAUCCGAAGAUGCACAACCCCCUUACUGAUGUUAGCGUCGUGUCCCUCCUUCUCGGUCGCCUCCUCAACCACCACCACUCGUUUGUGGCCAAGGCCCAGGAGAACAUUGUCGUGUCCCUCCUUGUCGGUCGCCUCCUCAACCACCACCACUCAUCUACGGCCAAGGCCUAGGAGAACAUCGUCGUUGCCCUCCUCAACCUCCCCAUCUUCGCCCACGAGGUGCUCAUGUGCACCCCGUUCAUCCUCGAUGCCCUCGUCGUCACACUCCACCUCUCCCCCACACACUACCACAACCCUUUACAACAUUCUUUCCAUCGAAGUGUACUACUCCAUCAUCAGGUCAAAGAAGCUCCUUAUUGUCGCCCUCAUGGUCCUCCUUAAGGUCCUUGGCACGUCGACUAGGUCCAUCAAGCACGCGCUCAAGAUCCUCUUCGGCCUGGCCAUCUAUUGGCUUAACCGCAUUGCCCUCGUUGAGCUAGGUGUCGUGCCGCCCCUCUUCGUGCCGUGGUGAAGGAUGGGAAAAGGGGAGGGUGUAAAGGAUUACGAUGGUGAGGGCGUUGAGGAUGCCCAAGGUGCACAUGAGAGUCUUGCGGGCGGAGAUGGAGAGAUUGAGGAGGGCAAUGACGAUGUUCUCAUGGGCCUUGGUCGCAGACGAGUGAUGGUGGUAGUGGUUGAGGAGGUAGGUGACAAGGAGGGACACAGCGUUGGCAUUAGCGAGGGGGAUGUGCAUCUCCGGGUCAUGCUUCGACAGGCGACGGAUCUCCGUGAUAGCUUCAACAAUGGACUUCGAUUCCGUGGCGAUGGAGCACCAACGCAGAUGCAGAGCGAUGAAAGGAUCACUCGACAACUACAUCGAUGUCGACGCUAGUGAUGCAAUCAUCCGUCACCACUGGCGUCGUCCGUUACCACCAAUUAAAAUAUUAAAAUUUUCUUUUUACCCAUUAUUUUCAUGUUUUUAUUGAUAAAACUAAUGUCGUUGGAUCCACCAUCACCGAUUAAAACGUUAAAAUUAUCUUUUAAACAUUUAUUUUCAUGUUUCUAUUAAUAAAACUAAUGUCGUUAAAAUAAACAGACUUAAAUAUUUUAUUUUCGUAAUAAUAUAAUAUUUUAAAAUAUAAAGAUCAAGAUGCAAACAUUUUAAAAUGUAAAGACCAAGAUGCUGCUAUAGAUAGCUAAUCCUUGCCGAUCUAGAACUCUCUUUCACAACAUAUUUUGAAGAAAAUGAGUUGGUUUAAGAGUUUAUGUAAAGUUGGAAGUUAUUGUUAGAAGAGAGGAUUUGACGGUUUCCAAGUUGAUAAUUUUUUUUUUUGUUUAGGAAGUAUAAAUAAUGAAAUUAUUACCUAGCUAAAUUGAUAAAUACUUCACUAUAUAAUCAUACCGUGAGUUGGAAUUCGGCAUUCCCCGUCUGCACUUAACAGAAGAUGACUCUCGAAGUUAAAUAACGCAAGACAUAGUUCCAAUUUAAAUAAUAAACAAGAUAAUAUAGCGAUCAUUUUGUAUAAUAAAAAAAGGAGUUUAAUAUUUUUGAUAUAAACAAGAUAAAAAUCCUUCACGUUGAUAAAAAUAAAUAAAGGUUAUAAAAAUGACAAAAAAAUCAUGUGUGUGUGUGUGUGUGUGUAUAUAUAUAUAUAUAUAUAUAUAUAUAUAUAUAUAUAUAUAUAUAUAUAGAGGAUUUUUUUUGUGAGAAUCAAGGAAAUAAAAGAGAGAUCAGAGGUAAAAAAAUGAAUUGUAAUCAAAUAACAGAAAACAAAUAUCACGAAUCUAUAAUCAAAUAAUAAGAAAUUAAACUAGCUUUGUCUCAAAUAAAAUUUCUCUCAGAUGAAAACCUUGUACCUUCACGCCUAAAAUUUGAGCAAUGAUUGGUCCAAACGAACAGCACCAAUUCAAUAAAUCUAUGUUUCAACAUUAAAAUUUGUUAAUCCAAUAACUCUCACACGAUUCACAUAUAAUAUAAAAAAUACUUAAUUCAUUAAUUGGUGCAAUAAAAAUAAAUACAUAAUAAAAAAUUAUACAUAUAUCAAAUCAAAUAAAACAUUUGCUCUUUCAUCCAUGUUCUUGAUUGAUAAUUUUUUUCAAUUCUUAUUGAAUAAUAAAAUUUUCAUUUAGAGUUAAAAUCCUCAAUCAAGAUUCAGAAACUUCAAUUAAAAUCAAUUUUUAAUUUAUUUCCUUUUUCUUAUCUGCUUCAUUUUUUUAGUUACCUUGAAUAAUCUAAAACACUAUACUAAACUGGAAACAUGUUGUCAAUGUGCACAAUAUCUCUCAAACUAAUCAAAUUUAUCCAAAAUAAGAUAUUAAAAAAAAUGAUCCACCAUCACGAAAUAUGAUUCAAAAACAGAGUACAUCCAUAUCUAAGCAGACAAAAGGAACAGACAGUUCCAACAAUUCUAAUGAACAGACCAAUAGUAAUAUGGAACAUCACCCUUCCGCACCGGUAUCAUGCCUUUAACUCUUCGAGGCUUGCUUCUCCUUGGCCUUCUGGAUCUUCAAAACCUUCUUCACAAUCUUCUGCUCUUCAACUAAAAAGGCUCGAAUAAUCCUGCAAGUCCAAUAAGGAGAUUAGAAACAUAGAGCCAAGAACAAGAAGCAAGUAAGACGCAAAUAAUGCCUAGUUUAAGCGGCUUUCCCCAACCUUUCCUUCACAGCACUUCCGGCUAGCACGCCACCAUAAGCACGAUUCACAGUCCUCUGGCUUCUGGCCAAUCUAGACCUCUUGUACUCAGCAGGUCUUAAGUGAGGUAUCUGGAAGUAUGAAACAAACAGCAUCAUCCAUUUGAAAGAAACUUAUGAAACUUGAACCUCAUCAAGACAGAAUUUUGGUCAACACUAGAGAAGUAACAGUUCAAGAAACUAAUGAAAAUGAUCCUAAUAUGUACUGUAUAAAGCAUUUCGUAUUGAACUAACAACACAUACGCACAACAUAAUAGCAAAUGAACACUAUAAAUCUGGAAGCAAUAUUAUAUUAUGAAAAAUGCCAUAAACUGCCUUCAAAUAGGAUUGCAGCAAGUUGUUAAAAUGUAGAACAAAAAAAGUGUAAAAAGAUGAAUAAGAAAAGCUAUAUUCUGGCAUCCAUCAGAAUUAUUUCUUUUUAGAGGGUAAAACUCAUGAAUCAGAAGCAAAGUACCAUAGGGAACCUGUAAUACAGAAUCUUCCAAGUUCAAGGUUGAGAUAGUAACAUGCUUUAUCAUAAGAUGUCCAAAAAUUAUAUUUAUAAAUCCGAAAAUUAAAAUAACAGCAUCACAGUAAAGCUUAAUAUAAAAGUAUAAGCUCCAAAACAUGUGUAUCUACACAGCAUCAAAACAUUAACAUCCUAAAAAGGCUGCUUUCUAACAUAUUGUUGAGAGACCCAAGCCAAUAAAAUCCUACACCAAGAGUAUGAUCCCAGUAGAAAUAUAAAAUGCUCCGAGUAAAUACUUCUAUCACCACAAGGUAGAGCCUGAAAGCGAGAAAGUUUUUUACAAAUAUAUUUAUACCCUCCACUCCUGACUCAUCAUGACAUGAGAGAAAAUAACUAUUGGUGGAGCCUCCUGAUCCCAUUACAUAUUAUUAAUUAUGAUGCAAAUUAAUCCUGGACCAGAAUCAUACCCCAAGUUUGGAUAGUUGGUCCAUCAUUUACAGGUACAUCUGAACUGCCUAAUAUUAAACAGAUCAUCUCCAGAGAAUAGUUUUUUAUUCUAAAAUAUGUACUAUCACUUUUCCUACUCAGGGAAUUUGACAGUUCACACAUUGUCCAAGUCCUCCAUAGUCCAUACCUGGAAAAUCCUCAAUCACAUAUUAUCACAAUUGAUUACUUAAUAAUAUCAUCUUCAAGCAGAUAAUAUAUAUUAAAAGAAUCUUAAUAUAGAAACAGAAUUACACAAUUUUUGUAACAACAUUUUGCUUAAUGAACCAAUAUUAACAAAAAUGGCUUGGAACAUGUUAGUCUACUAGGACAUUACAUUAAAUCGAAAACAUUAUAUUUAGAAAUAGAACACAGUGAUUUAAAAAACGUUAGGCGUCGAAAGGUACUAAGGUUCCCAAAUGACCGACGCGCUAGAUGCUCACCCAAGUGAAACGAGACGCUAUGAAAUAAAAAAUAUACAAUAUAAUUAAAAAUAUAAUUAUUUAAAUAAAAAAUAUGAUAUUAAAUUAAAAAUAUAUUGUUAACAAUAUAUUACUUAAGUUAGAGGGGGAAAAAAUAUUCUUUGAAAUACUAAAUAUAAAAAAUAUAUAAUAUAAUUAAACAUAUAAUUAUAUAAAUUAAAAUAUGAUAUUAAAUUAAAAAUAUACUGUUAACAGUAUAUUACUUAAAGUUAGAGGAGGUAGAAAAAAAUAUUAACAAUAAUAGAGGGAGAUAGCAACAAUGACGGAGGAUUAGUUUAAGAUAGUUAUGGCAGUGCUGCGAACGACAGCAACGACAGCGACGAAAGCUGUGGACAACAGCAGUGAGGGAAGCUGCGGACAGUAACGAUGACAACGGUGAAAACUGCGGAAGCUACGGAUAGCAGUGGAAACAACAACGGAAGCUGCAGACAACAGCAGCAACAGCGGCGAAAGCUACGGACAAUAGCAACGACAUUGAUGAAAGCUCCAAAGGGCAUCCGUCGAUGGUGGAGAAACCUGCGAUCCUCUCCCUUGAGAGUGGAAGGAAGCUAUGGGGGCCGUCAGACUCGUCCGUCGACAACGGAGGAAGGCUCGGUUUGCUGCGACUACAACGAAGGUAGCAGCAGAAAGCGUCAGUGACGGAGGCAAAAGCAACGCUAGGGUCACGCGAGCAUGAAGCGUGGCUUUUGAGUUAAGAAACUAAGAACCAAACCAGCCUUAAACCGGUUCGAUUCGCCUAAUUGAAUCGAGCGCUCGCCCGAAGCGCCCAACGCCUGCGUUCGAGCGAGCGCCUCAUUGAAGCGCGAUGCCUCGUGCACACACAAGAUGCUCAGGCCUCGCCUCACCUCGCCCGACUGCUUAGGCGAGCGCCUAUUUAAAUCACUGAUACGAAGAUUAAACAUUUUCAAACAAAAAGAAAAUAGUGUCAAUUAUGCAUCCGACAAAAAAAUCUAUUUUUUUAAGAAAGCAAAUAUACUUCAGAGAAGUCUAAUCCUAUUCGUGCACUUGAUCAUUCGCAAUCUGUGGGGUUAUCAAACAUAGCAUUACGGAAACAAGCAAAAGAUGACAUAAACCAAAGACGAUGUAAAAGACAGUAUCACUACGACAUAGAAUUACAACGGCAGGUCAAAGCCAUCAACAUAAUAGGCUUCUUUUAUGUUCAUAUUUCCUGACAUAGAAACAAAAUCAAUCACCAAAUAUAUGAAGAAACACUUGUAUAGGACAUUCACUAGUAAUUCAUGGGAUACAUUUGACCCAACAAUUAAGCAAAUCUACAACGAGAAUGAGAUAAAUGCUUAGAAGCCUACUCUUCCAUGAUGAGUAGUCAUCAAAGAUUCCAAUAGCGUGUCAGAAGCAAUGAAUGGCAUACCCCUUGGAUUCUCUUGCCGGUCACAGGGCAAAUCGGCCCGCUUGCUCUCUUGUUCGUGUACUGGUAUACAAGCUUCCCACCUACGUUUCCGAAUCGAGCACAGUAAGCAAAAAUUCCAAUAUUAUACAAGCAGGAGACAAAAAGGAUCUGCCAAACCCCAGAACGGAGGAAGGAAAGGGCAAGAUUGGAUCUUUACCUGGGGUUUUGACCACCCUAGUCUGAUUCGACUUGGUGGCGUAGCCAUGCCGCUUCCUGUACGUCAAGCGUUGCACCAUCUCGCCUCACGAUCGCGCUCCACCGCCUCUUCUCUGAAGCCGAAGGCGAAGCAGAACCCGAAGGAGCCGAGCGGCGAUGGUCGGGUGCAUCGUUAAAUUGAUCGCCCGCCAUAAAUAGCAACCUAGAUCCAACGGUUCGUAUGUCGAGAUUAGAAAUCUGGGAUGGAUCUGGACGCUGGUGAUCGAAGAUUUCCUGGUGAGGCAGACGCUCGUUAAAAGUAGGAUUAAUUUUCUUGAUAAGAUCAUUUUAACUGAUUUAGAUUAGGCCAGUAUAAAUGGUUUAUUUACCACGGUAAACAGGGAAGGAGUUCAGAAUUGUAGUGGGACAUCAUCAUGUUAGGAUGAGCAUAAACUAAGAAAAAUUAAAAUAAAAAAUAAAGGAUGAGCAUAAAAACAGCCACUUUAAAUGACAAGCAUAAAAAACAAAACGAUUCUCACCUAAUUUGACAUCCAGUUUUAGAUUUUACAAAUGACAUCCAGUUUUGAAAUUAUCUUUAUAGAGUAUGUAUCCUAAUUUGAUCAUUCCGGAAAAUAAAGAGGAUGUAUACAAUUUAGAAUAUAGUUAUUUUUAAUAAAAAUUAAUAUUUUUUAAUUAAUACAUAAAAUAUUGAUGUAAUAGACUCGCUUGGAAAAGAUAAGAAAUGAAAGGUUUCGAUAAUUUUUAUAAUAUAAAAUAUUGAUCUGACGUACUAAAUUCAUUUAUGAAAGCUUAAAAGUUCCAAAACUCGUUUCAAUGAACGUCGGAUAGUAAGUUUUUGAGUUCCAAUUAUGUUUUUUUUAUCAUUUAUUUAUCUUUACAAAAAAAAAAUUUAAUUUGGGACCUCACUGGAUCAAGAGGGUUCAACAAAUCUAGGGUGGUUGCCACGUUGACUCAAAAUCCAUUAUUUUUUAAAAUUCCCCUGGAUAAUAAAUCAUCAUAUACUUACUUUAAGACCUAUUAUGAAUCAAAUAUCAAAAAUACAUAACUUAAAAUUAGUAAAUGAUUCAUCAGCUAUGUUAUAUACUCGCUAUACAUUAUUGUCGAUGUGGGUCAACUGUCCCCUAUAUUGUGGCAUCAUUUAAUUUUAAAAAAAUUAAAAAUAUAUAUUAAAAUAUAUUUAAGACAAUAAUACUAAACCAAUAAUAACAUAAAAAAUUAUUAGCACCAGUAGUCGAUAAAUGAUAUACAAAGCGCAGAAAUAGUUGACUAAUACAAUAACUAAUUCAACUCGGUCAUAUAAACAUCGUCAAUUUUUGGAAUCCAAAUAUGCAAGGAGAUAUGGCUUUUGCUAAUUCCGAUGUCAAAUCAAUCUAACAUACAGCAGAUCAUCAUCAGUCACGCUAUCAUUAUCAGUAACGCUAAUUUACAUGAUUCAAGCCUACACCAUGACAAUAUUCGGUCAUAUUAGAAUUAAAUUUCCCACAUGCCAGCAUUCAUCGGUUAAUAAUGACAAGAGGAAGACAUUUGCCAAUGGAUGUUUCCUGAUAUAUUCCUUCACAUUUUGUGUAACAGAUGUUAUGCAAAAUCUAAGGAUGAACUCCAAGAUGAUUUAAUGAUCAAUCUUGUGAGCCAAGACUAACAAAAAAAAAAAGUCUCCUCACCUGCACUAAGUGUCAAAGUCUUGAAUGGAUAUUGCCACUAACUGUUGAACGACCUCUUACCAGUCAUCAUGUAGACUAUAACUCACAUUCUAAGUUACAUUCCAAGUUUUUCUUACUAAGGGAGAAUUUAAAUUAAGUCACAUUCUAAGUUAACAAAGUUGAAUAAAG
This 21929-nucleotide long non-coding RNA is filed under the name Musa acuminata (dwarf banana). RNAcentral describes it as "long non-coding RNA (MACU_LNC006506)". The record is from RNAcentral. Lineage: Eukaryota; Viridiplantae; Streptophyta; Magnoliopsida; Zingiberales; Musaceae.